GCGGGGGUUGCCUAGUGGCUAAGGCGCUGGCCUGGAGAGCCAGUGACCCGAAAAGGUGCAUGACGCCGCGCGCCAUCAUGCGCUAUCGGACGGGUCGCGUGGGUUCAAAUCCCACCCCCCGCGCCA
Molecule: transfer RNA, 126 nt
Filed under: Candidatus Jordarchaeales archaeon
Lineage: Archaea; Promethearchaeati; Candidatus Jordarchaeia; Candidatus Jordarchaeales
Also listed under: 1 other name
Description: tRNA-Ser
Rfam family: tRNA
About the family: Transfer RNA (tRNA) molecules are approximately 80 nucleotides in length. Their secondary structure includes four short double-helical elements and three loops (D, anti-codon, and T loops).
Source: RNAcentral